Molecule: ribosomal RNA, 397 nt
Filed under: uncultured bacterium
Lineage: Bacteria
Description: partial 16S ribosomal RNA
Rfam family: Bacterial small subunit ribosomal RNA
Source: RNAcentral
AUACGUAGGGGGCAAGCGUUAUCCGGAUUUACUGGGUGUAAAGGGAGCGUAGACGGAAAGCCAAGUCUGAUGUGAAAGGUGGGGGCUCAACCCCCAAACAGCAUUGGAAACUGGUUGGCUAGAGUGUCGGAGAGGUAAGUGGAAUUCCUAGUGUAGCGGUGAAAUGCGUCGACAUUAGGAGGAACACCAGUGGCGAAGGCGGAUUUCUCGACUGCAACGGGAGCUCCGGCUCGAUAUUCUGGGGACAAGACAGGAGUAGAUGCCCGUGUACUCCACACUGUACACGAUGAAUGCCAGGUGUAGGGGGUAGACCCCCCUCCUGCGCCUCAGUCAACGCAAUUACGGAUCCGCCUGGGGACUUCCGUGUCACGGUUGCGACUGACACGAAUUGACGGGC